UACGUAGGGUGCGAGCGUUGCCCGGAUUUAUUGGGCGUAAAGGGCGCGUAGGCGGUCACGCACGUCCGUUGUGAAAUCGCUCGGCUCAACUGGGCGGGGUCAGCGGAUACGGCGUGGCUGGAGCAAGCUAGGGGGCAAUGGAAUUCCCGGUGUAGUGGUGGAAUGCGUAGAUAUCGGGAGGAACACCAGUGGCGAAGGCGGUUGCCUGGAGCUUUGCUGACGCUGAUGCGCGAAAGCGUGGGUAGCGAACAGG
This 253-nucleotide ribosomal RNA is filed under the name uncultured bacterium. Its description in RNAcentral is "partial 16S ribosomal RNA". It matches the Rfam family "Bacterial small subunit ribosomal RNA", at positions 524 to 776 of the family's 1533-position model. The record is from RNAcentral.